UGACUCAGUGGAUAGAGUGUCAGCCUGCAGAUUGAAAGGUCCCAGGUUCGAUUCCGGUCAAGGGCAUGUACCUUGCCUGGGUUGAGGGCUAAAUCCCCGGUGUGGGGCAUGCAGGAGGCAGCUGAUCGAUGAUUCUCUCUCAUCACUGAUGUUUCUAUCUCUCUCUCCCCCUCUCCCUUCCUCUCUGAAAUCAAUAAAAAUA
Long non-coding RNA from Pipistrellus kuhlii (Kuhl's pipistrelle), 202 nucleotides. RefSeq lists it as uncharacterized. The transcript has 2 exons. Lineage: Eukaryota; Metazoa; Chordata; Mammalia; Chiroptera; Vespertilionidae. The record is from RefSeq and is a predicted model, not a curated record.